Molecule: ribosomal RNA, 501 nt
Filed under: uncultured bacterium
Lineage: Bacteria
Description: partial 16S ribosomal RNA
Rfam family: Bacterial small subunit ribosomal RNA
Source: RNAcentral
AUUGAACGCUGGCGGCACGCCUAACAUAUGCAAGUCGAGCGGUAACAUGGUGUGUAGCAAUACACACUGAUGACGAGCGGCGGACGGGUGAGGAACACGUAGGAACCUGCCCAAAAGAGGGGGAUAACCAAUGGAAACUUUGGCUAAUACCGCGUAAUCUCGAGAGAGAAAAGCUGCCGCAAGGUGGCGCUUUUGGAGGGGCCUGCGUCCGAUUAGCUAGUUGGUGAGGUAAUAGCUCACCAAGGCGAUGAUCGGUAACUGGUCUGAGAGGACGACCAGUCACACUGGGACGGAGACACGGCCCAGACUCGUACGGGAGGCAGCAGUGGGGAAUAUGGGACAAUGGGGGCAACCCUGAUCCAGCGAUGCCGCGUGAGUGAAGAAGGCCUUCGGGUCGUAAAGCUCUUUAGGUUGGGAAGAAGGUUGUGGGAGGAAAUGCCUGCAGCUUGACGGUACCGACAGAAUAAGCACCGGCAAACUCUGUGCCAGCAGCCGCAGUAA